CAGAAGGAGGAUGGUCUGCUUACUGCGGUUGACCACGGGUAACUGAGCCUCAGAAGGCAAAACUGAAGAUAAGGGGAGCUGCCAUAUGAAGACAUUGAGGCUCAGAGAGCUGGAGUAACAUGCAGCUGCUAAGUGGUAGAAAGAACAAAGGAUUCUGAGGCCUACGUGCAAUGCAAUGCCUUAUCAGAGAACAUGAGGGGACCUCAGCGAAGCCUCCUUCUCUCAGCCAUUUAAGAUUUUUAUUACUACUAUUUGCAAGGUCACCCAUCCACUCCCAGCACAGCCUGGGGAGGGGAGGAUCACACCCUCUGAGCUGAGAUGGCAGCUGUCUCAAACAGGGAGAUCAAAUCCCAACCUCAAGACCCACUGGCAAAUUAAGCCCUUCUUGCCGGCACAGCAGAUGAAUGGGCGACCCAGGAAAACUGCAGUCAAAGAAACGUCUUGUAACAGUUCUAACUUUGGUUUGGCAUGUCACCUCUGUAACGAUAUCAGGGAGAGGAAAUAUUCCGUCAAAGCUGUGAGCGUGGAAGGAAACAGCCUGGAUGGUGUCCAAAGACACACAGUAUCUUAGCAACUUCUGAAGUUCAGAAAAGCCAACAUUUCAGUUUGGGAAGCCGUCUGGUAGAAGUUCCGUCCUACCCCACCACAAUCACUGAAAGACACACCUUAAGGUGGAAGUGGCCAUCGUUUUCAGGAUCUACUACCCAAGCUGCUGAAAUGAAGUGGCUGUCAGGGGCAGGCAGCUCUUGUCGAGAAAACAAAGCAAAACACUACUGCCAGAAACAUAUGAAAAUAGGGAUAACCAGGUAGAUAUGAUGCCUGGAGCUGCAACAGCUAUAUUGCUACAAUGAGGCAGCAAAACCAAGGGGUAAAAAACCCUAAAGCACCAAGAGGGGCAAAGCAGAGAAAAAGGAAGAAUUCAUGCCAUGGAUGUCAUCACCGAGCAGCAUCAUCAGUGCCAGUUUCUGUAAACCUUGGGUAUCCAGCUAGCUAUGUAAGGAACAUAGAGCCUUGCAGUUUUGUAAACCACUGUUAGCAUUC
Molecule: long non-coding RNA, 1041 nt
Organism: Panthera uncia (snow leopard)
Lineage: Eukaryota; Metazoa; Chordata; Mammalia; Carnivora; Felidae
Exons: 6
Source: RefSeq, a predicted model, not a curated record